This 253-nucleotide ribosomal RNA is filed under the name uncultured bacterium. RNAcentral's name for it is "partial 16S ribosomal RNA". It matches the Rfam family "Bacterial small subunit ribosomal RNA", at positions 524 to 776 of the family's 1533-position model. The record is from RNAcentral.
UACAGAGGUCUCAAGCGUUGUUCGGAUUCAUUGGGCGUAAAGAGCGUGUAGGCGGCCCGAUAAGUCCGCUGUGAAAGUCCAGGGCUCAACCCUGGAAUGCCGGUGGAUACUGUCGGGCUCGAAUCCGGAAGAGGUGAGUGGAAUUCCUGGUGUAGCGGUGAAAUGCGCAGAUAUCAGGAGGAACACCAAUGGCGAAGGCAGCUCACUGGGACGGUAUUGACGCUGAGACGCGAAAGCGUGGGGAGCAAACAGG